Molecule: ribosomal RNA, 269 nt
Filed under: uncultured bacterium
Lineage: Bacteria
Description: partial 16S ribosomal RNA
Rfam family: Bacterial small subunit ribosomal RNA
Source: RNAcentral
UUUGAUGGCGACCGGCGCACGGGUGAGUAACACGUAUCCAACCUGCCGAUGACUCGGGGAUAGCCUUUCGAAAGAAAGAUUAAUACCCGGUGGCAUAGUUCUUCCGCAUGGUAGAACUAUUAAAGAAUUUCGGUCAUCGAUGGGGAUGCGUUCCAUUAGCUUGUUGGCGGGGUAACGGCCCACCAAGGCAUCGAUGGAUAGGGGUUCUGAGAGGAAGGUCCCCCACAUUGGAACUGAGACACGGUCCAAACUCCUACGGGAGGCAGCAG